Long non-coding RNA from Musa acuminata AAA Group (dessert banana), 1745 nucleotides. RefSeq lists it as uncharacterized. NCBI's taxonomy places the organism in Eukaryota, Viridiplantae, Streptophyta, Magnoliopsida, Zingiberales, Musaceae. The record is from RefSeq and is a predicted model, not a curated record. The transcript is spliced from 2 exons.
CGUCGUCUCCUUCUCUCUCUCUCUCUCUCUCUCUCUCUCCUCACUUUUGAAGUUGCCAUCAUCUUUCUAUCCUCUGAGAUCCCAAACCGUGGUUCUUAAGGUGGAAACGUGUAAGUCUUGGGUGGGAAGUCGAUUAGGUUUCGGAGGUGACAGGAACUCCUCCUUGUCACCCGAACACAGGAUUAUCUUUGGUUGUGGGAAGUGAUCAGGUGCAUGAGGGUUUCGAUCCAGGCCUUGUUUCUCUCUUUUUUGCCCUGGCUUUUAAACCCGCUGGUUCCUGGGAAUGGAUCUGUCGCUGGUGUUGCCUCGAUACAACUCAAAGAGCACUGCAACAGGCUGCAAGAUUCCGCCUGUGGGUCCAUAAAUCCAGGCUCCAGCCGCAGAUGUCACCUCGCGUGGGAUGCUGCAGUACUUGUCGCAGUGCUCAUGUCUUCCUCUUCUCUCGCUAUUUCAUCUCCUCGACUCAAAUCUUGGGGUGGGAUAGCAGCCUUCCUUGAAGUCUACAGCUUCCCGUGCGCUCUUCUCUCGGUUAAUUGCGUUCCAGUUUGUCGGAGCAGCAGCCGGCCGGUGCUUGCAGCUGCGGCAUCAUCAAGAUUCACACGAACGUCCGGGGAGCCCCGUCGUCGUCGUCGAUGAGAAUCUUGAUGAUGCUGCAUCAGCAAACAAGCGGCUAAAUAUAUAUGCCUCCAUCGCUAAGGACAGAACUAAGAAAUCCAAAUGGCGAGUAACAUCAUGGACCACUUCAAUCGACUGGCUUCAUCAUGAGCCCUUUUUAAGAGGACGACGGUACUGCUCUUUCUCAAACACACCAAAACAUGGUUGUAGAUCUGAACAUGUGAUCAUCUUGCAUGGGGUAAUUCCUUCUUGAUUUGAUAUGGUCCAGUCAAAGAGCUUGCUCCUUAUCCUCACCUCAGCUUAGCUUAGUUUUGACACCUGAAGACUACAAAAAAUUAACUACAACAACUUUUAAUUUCAGUCUGGCUUUGUUAAUUUAUGGAUUCUAAUGCAUUAUGGUAGUACUCUUGAAUGGAAAUGCUUUGAAGUUUGACAUUAAUAUGUGCAUUGCUUCAAUAUUUGGCGGUCAUCAACAAACUAUCUUCUUGCUUUGAGAUGAAUGAUGUUAAGCUGCUCGAUUUGGUUGCCACAGUAAAUCAUAUAGAUCAAUGGACUCUUUUUUAAGUUGUGAUACAACAACUGCAUUCAGAAGAAGGAUCAAGGAGAUCCUUGGCCACAUGGUAAGAUUUAUUUUCUGAAACCUGGAGAAAACAAAAGAGCAACUCAUUCACAUUAAUGCACUCUAACAUGUAAAGUAUGUGCUAGGAUCAUUUUCUAAUUAAUGCAGGUUUGAUCAUUGUUCUUAGAGAGCUUACCAUCUAAAGAACUAUGUGGCAGGAAAUGUCCUGGGAUGGAAAGGAUCUAAAAAGGAAAAAAAAAUCUUAUGUUAGCAAUAACUCUCCUUCAUCAGUCACUCAUUUAGGUGGACCUAACAGAAGGUACAUGUUGCUGCUAGUUGUUUCUAAGUGGACCUAUCUUUUAGGACAACAUGCACAGAACUGUCCGGCAAUUUGAUUUGAGCUCCUUUCUCCAUCUAAGCACAUAUACCAACAUAUACAUCUAAGAGCUAAACGCAUGUGAUUUAGUCAAAGUAUAUUGGUUGUACUAUUGUAUGAACUGGAGCCUCUAAGGUGUGUUGUUUUCUCUCCAAUCAGAGGGUUGCCAUAAUCCAAAAGAAAGGGUUUCUUUCA